This is a long non-coding RNA of Trichomycterus rosablanca, 261 nucleotides long. RefSeq lists it as uncharacterized. The transcript is spliced from 3 exons. The record is from RefSeq and is a predicted model, not a curated record. NCBI's taxonomy places the organism in Eukaryota, Metazoa, Chordata, Actinopteri, Siluriformes, Trichomycteridae.
UGAUGUUUAAGAGUUAAUGGUGUUAUCAGUGUGAGGAUGUAGAGAUGGAGACCAGUGUAACCUCAGAUGGUGGAACAUGGAGUUUUGAGCGAGACGUCGACACUGCAGAGCCUGGAGGAUUCCUGAGGAAGCUCAUCAAAAAAGAGGAACCUGAUGAUGAAGCUUCAUUCUACGGAGGAUCUUCAGGCUCGGUGGAGAACAUCACCCCUGUGAUCCAACAGAAAGACGAACCUUUGAUAAAACCUGAAAAAGAGGAAGGAC